GAUCCUGGCUCAGGAUGAACGCUGGCGGCGUGCUUAACACAUGCAAGUCGAGCGAAGCACUUAAGUUUGAUUCUUCGGAUGAAGACUUUUGUGACUGAGCGGCGACGGGGUGAAGGUAACCGCGUGGGUAACCUGCCUCAUACAGGGGGAUAACAGUUAGAAUGGCUGCUAAUACCGCAUAAGACCACAGUACUGCAUGGUACAGUGGUAAAACUCCGGUGGUAUGAGAUGGACCCGCG
RNAcentral lists this ribosomal RNA (239 nucleotides) under uncultured bacterium. Its description in RNAcentral is "partial 16S ribosomal RNA". It matches the Rfam family "Bacterial small subunit ribosomal RNA", at positions 15 to 235 of the family's 1533-position model. The record is from RNAcentral.